CUCAGACAGCCAGGAUGUUGGCUUAGAAGCAGCCAUCAUUUAAAGAAAGCGUAAUAGCUCACUGGUCGAGUCGGCCUGCGCGGAAGAUUUAACGGGGCUAAGCUAUACACCGAAGCUGCGGCAAUGCAUUUUAUGUAUUGGGUAGGGGAGCGUUCUGUAAGCGGUUGAAGGUGGUCUGUAAGGGCUGCUGGACGUAUCAGAAGUGCGAAUGCUGACAUGAGUAACGAUAAAGGGAGUGAAAAACUCCCUCGCCGGAAGACCAAGGGUUCCUGUCCAACGUUAAUCGGGGCAGGGUGAGUCGACCCCUAAGGCGAGGCCGAAAGGCGUAGUCGAUGGGAAACGGGUUAAUAUUCCCGUACUUCUUACUAUUGCGAUGGGGGGACGGAGAAGGCUAGGUGGGCCUGGCGACGGUUGUCCAGGUUCAAGGGUGUAGGCUGUAAUCUUAGGCAAAUCCGGGAUUACACUAGGCUGAGACCCGAUGUCGAGGUGCUACGGCACUGAAGUCAUUGAUGCCAUGCUUCCGGGAAAAGCCUCUAAGCUUCAGGUAGUAAGGAAUCGUACCCCAAACCGACACAGGUGGUCGGGUAGAGAAUACCAAGGCGCUUGAGAGAACUCGGGUGAAGGA
This 625-nucleotide ribosomal RNA is filed under the name Photobacterium rosenbergii. RNAcentral's name for it is "bacterial LSU rRNA". It matches the Rfam family "Bacterial large subunit ribosomal RNA", at positions 1084 to 1711 of the family's 2925-position model. The record is from RNAcentral. Lineage: Bacteria; Pseudomonadati; Pseudomonadota; Gammaproteobacteria; Vibrionales; Vibrionaceae.